GGAGGCGUGGCUGAGUGGCCGAAAGCAGCGCACUGCUAAUGCGUUAGGCGCCAAAAGCGCCUCGGAGGUUCGAAUCCUCCCGCCUCCGCCA
This 91-nucleotide transfer RNA is filed under the name Candidatus Ryanbacteria bacterium RIFCSPHIGHO2_02_FULL_47_25. Its description in RNAcentral is "tRNA-Ser". It matches the Rfam family "tRNA". Rfam says of the family: Transfer RNA (tRNA) molecules are approximately 80 nucleotides in length. Their secondary structure includes four short double-helical elements and three loops (D, anti-codon, and T loops). Further hydrogen bonds mediate the characteristic L-shaped molecular structure. tRNAs have two regions of fundamental functional importance: the anti-codon, which is responsible for specific mRNA codon recognition, and the 3' end, to which the tRNAs corresponding amino acid is attached (by aminoacyl-tRNA synthetases). tRNAs cope with the degeneracy of the genetic code in two manners: having more than one tRNA (with a specific anti-codon) for a particular amino acid; and 'wobble' base-pairing, i.e. permitting non-standard base-pairing at the 3rd anti-codon position. The record is from RNAcentral. RNAcentral also lists the same sequence under 3 other names. Lineage: Bacteria; Candidatus Ryaniibacteriota.